CCGAGGUGCUCAUGUAACCCACGGAGAAAACCUUUUCGACAUGCUUGGAAGGGUAGAGAUAACCGAAGUAAUCAACAGCCGUGAUGAAAGCAUUCCACGGAAGCAAAUUGCCUGCACCAAGCAAGAAAUGGAUUACAUAAGCAACUCUGUAAGUAUCCCUUGGCUCAAGCUGAUGACCUGUUGAAGCCUUUGGGUUUUCCAUUUCUUGCAUAUCCUGCACUUACAAGAGUGCAAGUGCAGUACUUUGGCUGGAAUUUAAGGUUGCCAAUAAGGUAUAAGGUUGUUCUAGAGAAUUGAUUAAUUGACUUGUUGAUUAGAAUGGCAUAUAAACAAAGCUAAACUGAGCCUAACAGAGAGUAGCAGCUUAAGCUAGUCAAUAGCAAAGAGGCUUAAAUGGUAUUUGUAAUGCAAUAUAGCUUAGCUAGCUGCCUUUGUGAAAUUGGUUUAGUUGAACCAGCUUGACUAACCAUGGGAGGGCAAGCUGGAGCCACUUGAUGAUGGGAUUUGAUUGAUGGGUUUGGGAUUUUGGAACCAAUGGGGGGCUCAUGCUUGUUAGAAAAUAUGCGCUGUUUGUGGGGACGGUAAUGGAUGGCAAGAGGUUGAAAUACCUUUUCUUUUGUCAUUGCUUUUCUGCUACCACUGCCCAUGGGUUAACAUGCCAUUGGUCUUUUCAGGUUAAUAAUCAGAAUCUUACCUGAAGGACUAGGGGGGGCUGGCAAUGGCAUAUUUCAGUAGCCUCGUGAGAUGAUCAUUUCACAACUUGCAAACAUUUAUUCUCGGUACUCGUAUGGAUAUAAGGAUGUGAUCUUCGAAGGCAGACACUCAUUCAAGUUCGAGUAACAUAAAAAAGGUUCAAUGUCUGCCUAUUUUUAUGCCUAUUGUAUUUGAUCAUUUGAAUUUGAUACCUUAAAAAUAAAGUAUAUACAUGUUUUAAAUAUGCUCUAUCAUAUUUUUUGAAGACUCAAUUAGAACAUUUUGAAAUUCUGAACCAUUUAAUAGAAAC
This 1003-nucleotide long non-coding RNA is filed under the name Gossypium raimondii (Peruvian cotton). Its description in RNAcentral is "long non-coding RNA (GRAI_LNC011003)". The record is from RNAcentral. Lineage: Eukaryota; Viridiplantae; Streptophyta; Magnoliopsida; Malvales; Malvaceae.